Molecule: ribosomal RNA, 669 nt
Filed under: uncultured bacterium
Lineage: Bacteria
Description: bacterial SSU rRNA
Rfam family: Bacterial small subunit ribosomal RNA
Source: RNAcentral
AGUGGCGCACAGGUGCGUAACGCGUGGGGAUCUACCAUAGGGUGCGGAAUAACUCAGAGAAAUUUGAGCUAAUACCGCAUAAUGUCUUCGGACCAAAGAUUUAUCGCCCUUUGAUGAACCCGCGUAAGAUUAGCUUGUUGGUGAGGUAAAGGCUCACCAAGGCGACGAUCUUUAGCUGGUCUGAGAGGAUGAUCAGCCACACUGGGACUGAGACACGGCCCAGACUCCUACGGGAGGCAGCAGUGGGGAAUAUUGGACAAUGGGCGAAAGCCUGAUCCAGCAAUGCCGCGUGAGUGAUGAAGGCCUUAGGGUUGUAAAGCUCUUUUACCAGGGAUGAUAAUGACAGUACCUGGAGAAUAAGCUCCGGCUAACUCCGUGCCAGCAGCCGCGGUAAUACGGAGGGAGCUAGCGUUGUUCGGAAUUACUGGGCGUAAAGCGCGCGUAGGCGGUUACUCAAGUCAGAGGUGAAAGCCCGGAGCUCAACUCCGGAACUGCCUUUGAAACUAGGUGACUAGAAUCUUGGGGAGGCGAGUGGAAUUCCGAGUGUAGAGGUGAAAUUCGUAGAUAUUCGGAAGAACACCAGCGGCGAAUGCGACUCGCUGGACAAGUAUUGACGCUGAGUGCGAAGCGUGGGAGCAACAGGAUUAGAUACCCCUGUAGUCACGCGGA